CAGUUGGCCACUUCCCCGCGUGUCUGCAUUCUGCAACAAUGGAUCUUUUCAUGCGGCGGUAGAACCUGCUGCUUCGGUCCGCGGCUCCGCGCUGGAUUUGUCGCGCCAUCGGCGACGACCUGGAGCAGGUGGUAAUUGCAUCCUUGCCCUUGCGUCAGAUUUUCUGGCACAAAUGUCAGCCGGCCACUGCGAUCCACACACAGAGGAGCACAAAUGUCAGCCGGCCACUGCGAUCCACACACAGAGGAGCACCUCCAUCCAGCAUGGAGCUGCCGAUGCAUCUGGACAUGCCAAUGAGGUGCUGCACCCAGCCUCUGAGCAGCAAGAAGUCGAGAACUUGAAUUUGUACUGCAUGCAUGAGACUGCUCUUGAAAUAUUAUUUAGCUGCUAUGCCACCCCAUCAACGAGGCAGGGAAAAUGAGGUGUUCUCAAGAGCUGUUAUUUUCGUUGUCAGUCACUGUGGAGUGUGGACCAUGCUAGACCUAUUUAUGUUGCAUCCUUCUUUUAUAGUACAUCUCAAUAUAUAAACGUAUAUAUGGCUUUGAUUUCUGAUAAAUUAAAAAGGCAUUGUCGUAAGUCUGUUA
Molecule: long non-coding RNA, 584 nt
Organism: Panicum virgatum (switchgrass)
Lineage: Eukaryota; Viridiplantae; Streptophyta; Magnoliopsida; Poales; Poaceae
Exons: 2
Source: RefSeq, a predicted model, not a curated record